Molecule: ribosomal RNA, 377 nt
Filed under: uncultured bacterium
Lineage: Bacteria
Description: bacterial SSU rRNA
Rfam family: Bacterial small subunit ribosomal RNA
Source: RNAcentral
UAUGGGACAAUGGGCGCAAGCCUGAUCCAGCCAUGCCGCGUGAGUGAUGAAGGCCCUAGGGUUGUAAAGCUCUUUUAGCGGGGAAGAUAAUGACGGUACCCGUAGAAUAAGCCCCGGCUAACUUCGUGCCAGCAGCCGCGGUAAUACGAAGGGGGCUAGCGUUGCUCCGGAAUCACUGGGCGUAAAGGGUGCGUAGGUGGAUAUUUAAGUCAGGGGUGAAAUCCUGGAGCUCAACUCCAGAACUGCCUUUGAUACUGAGUAUCUUGAGUUCGGGAGAGGUAAGUGGAACUGCGAGUGUAGAGGUGAAAUUCGUAGAUAUUCGCAAGAACACCAGUGGCGAAGGCGGCUUACUGGCCCGAUACUGACACUAGCACGAA